AUGCCGCCACCUCCCCACAAGCUCUCCGCCCCGCCAUGGAAGCCUCGUCAUCGGUCGUCCCGACCUCGAGAUACGUCGCCGCCAUGGGAGCCGAGCACCAAGCUCCUCUGUGCCCCGCCCGCCAUGGGAGAUCUGAGGCCGGCCGGGAGGCGGGGAUGGGGUGCCGGUGGACCUCGGCGAUCUGCGCGGUGGCGCUGCUCUGGCUCGCCACGGCCGCAGCCGGAGAUCCCGAUCCCGAUGAGCUCGAGCGCGCAUUGCCAAUGCCAAUUUACCAAUGAUUUCAGGUCUGCGAAAGUUGGAUUUUGGACAGGCUUUCAAGAGCAUGACCAAAGCAGAGACACACACAUGCAGCGCGGCAACAAUUCUUCUUCCUCAAAGCAUAUAUUUUCUCCAAGCGAUCAACAAAGUGAUUGGUCCAUCUAG
RNAcentral lists this ribosomal RNA (423 nucleotides) under Triticum aestivum (bread wheat). RNAcentral's name for it is "partial small subunit ribosomal RNA". The record is from RNAcentral. Lineage: Eukaryota; Viridiplantae; Streptophyta; Magnoliopsida; Poales; Poaceae.